Molecule: ribosomal RNA, 1415 nt
Filed under: Enterococcus durans
Lineage: Bacteria; Bacillati; Bacillota; Bacilli; Lactobacillales; Enterococcaceae
Description: 16S ribosomal RNA
Rfam family: Bacterial small subunit ribosomal RNA
Source: RNAcentral
GAGUGGCGAACGGGGUGAGUAAACACGUGGGGUAACCUGCCCAUCAGAAGGGGAUAAACACUUGGAAACAGGUGCUAAUACCGUAUAACAAUCGAAACCGCAUGGUUUUGAUUUGAAAGGCGCUUUCGGGUGUCGCUGAUGGAUGGACCCGCGGUGCAUUAGCUAGUUGGUGAGGUAACGGCUCACCAAGGCYACGAUGCAUAGCCGACCUGAGAGGGUGAUCGGCCACAUUGGGACUGAGACACGGCCCAAACUCCUACGGGAGGCAGCAGUAGGGAAUCUUCGGCAAUGGACGAAAGUCUGACCGAGCAACGCCGCGUGAGUGAAGAAGGUUUUCGGAUCGUAAAACUCUGUUGUUAGAGAAGAACAAGGAUGAGAGUAACUGUUCAUCCCUUGACGGUAUCUAACCAGAAAGCCACGGCUAACUACGUGCCAGCAGCCGCGGUAAUACGUAGGUGGCAAGCGUUGUCCGGAUUUAUUGGGCGUAAAGCGAGCGCAGGCGGUUUCUUAAGUCUGAUGUGAAAGCCCCCGGCUCAACCGGGGAGGGUCAUUGGAAACUGGGAGACUUGAGUGCAGAAGAGGAGAGUGGAAUUCCAUGUGUAGCGGUGAAAUGCGUAGAUAUAUGGAGGAACACCAGUGGCGAAGGCGGCUCUCUGGUCUGUAACUGACGCUGAGGCUCGAAAGCGUGGGGAGCAAACAGGAUUAGAUACCCUGGUAGUCCACGCCGUAAACGAUGAGUGCUAAGUGUUGGAGGGUUUCCGCCCUUCAGUGCUGCAGCUAACGCAUUAAGCACUCCGCCUGGGGAGUACGACCGCAAGGUUGAAACUCAAAGGAAUUGACGGGGGCCCGCACAAGCGGUGGAGCAUGUGGUUUAAUUCGAAGCAACGCGAAGAACCUUACCAGGUCUUGACAUCCUUUGACCACUCUAGAGAUAGAGCUUCCCCUUCGGGGGCAAAGUGACAGGUGGUGCAUGGUUGUCGUCAGCUCGUGUCGUGAGAUGUUGGGUUAAGUCCCGCAACGAGCGCAACCCUUAUUGUUAGUUGCCAUCAUUCAGUUGGGCACUCUAGCAAGACUGCCGGUGACAAACCGGAGGAAGGUGGGGAUGACGUCAAAUCAUCAUGCCCCUUAUGACCUGGGCUACACACGUGCUACAAUGGGAAGUACAACGAGUCGCGAAGUCGCGAGGCUAAGCUAAUCUCUUAAAGCUUCUCUCAGUUCGGAUUGUAGGCUGCAACUCGCCUACAUGAAGCCGGAAUCGCUAGUAAUCGCGGAUCAGCACGCCGCGGUGAAUACGUUCCCGGGCCUUGUACACACCGCCCGUCACACCACGAGAGUUUGUAACACCCGAAGUCGGUGAGGUAACCUUUUGGAGCCAGCCGCCUAAGGUGGGAUAGAUGAUUGGGGUGAAGUCGUAA